RNAcentral lists this ribosomal RNA (391 nucleotides) under uncultured bacterium. RNAcentral describes it as "bacterial SSU rRNA". It matches the Rfam family "Bacterial small subunit ribosomal RNA", at positions 28 to 418 of the family's 1533-position model. The record is from RNAcentral.
GAUGAACGCUAGCGGUGUGCUUAAUGCAUGCAAGUCGAACGGGAUCCCAUGGAUUCGUCCAGGGUGAGAGUGGCGGACGGGUGAGUAACGCGUUGGUGACCUGCCUCGGAGAGGGGGACAACCAUUGGAAACGAUGGCUAAUACCCCGGAUGUUAUCGAGUUUAGAAAUCGAUAACUAAAGCUCUGGCGCUCCGAGAGGGGCCAGCGUCCCAUCAGCUUGUUGGUAAGGUAACGGCUUACCAAGGCUCAGACGGGUAGGGGGCGUGAGAGCGUGACCCCCCCACACUGGUACUGAAACACGGUCCAUACACCUACGGGUGGCAGCAGUAGGGAAUAUUGCUCAAUGGGCGAAAGCCUGAUCCAGCCAUGCCGCGUGAGUGAAGAAGGCCUU